AGCAGCCGCGGUAAUUCCAGCUCCAAUAGCGUAUAUUAAAGUUGUUGCAGUUAAAAAAGCUCGUAGUUGAAUUUCGGGAUUAGUACGCUGGUCGUGCCUUUGGUAUGUACUGGUGUUACUGAUUCCUACCUUCUGACGAACUGUCAUGUCAUUAAUUUGGUGUGGCGGGGAAUCAGGACUGUUACUUUGAAAAAUUGAGUGUUUAAAGCAGGCUCGCGCUUGAAUACAUUAGCAUGGAAUAAUGAAAUAGGACGUUCGAUCCUAUUUUGUUGGUUUCUAGGAUUGACGUAAUGAUUAAUAGGGAUAGUUGGGGGCAUUAGUAUUCAAUUGUCAGAGGUGAAAUUCUUGGAUUUAUUGAAGACUAACUACUGCGAAAGCAUUUGCCAAGGAUGUUUUCAUUAAUCAAGAACG
RNAcentral lists this ribosomal RNA (411 nucleotides) under uncultured Glomus. RNAcentral describes it as "SSU rRNA". It matches the Rfam family "Eukaryotic small subunit ribosomal RNA", at positions 569 to 985 of the family's 1831-position model. The record is from RNAcentral. Lineage: Eukaryota; Fungi; Glomeromycota; Glomeromycetes; Glomerales; Glomeraceae.